UGACCUCGGAUCAGGUAGGAAUACCCGCUGAACUUAAGCAUAUCAAUAAGCGGAGGAAAAGAAACCAACAGGGAUUGCCCUAGUAACGGCGAGUGAAGCGGCAACAGCUCAAAUUUGAAAUCUGGCUCUCGGGCCCGAGUUGUAAUUUGUAGAGGAUACUUUUGAUGCGGUGCCUUCCGAGUUCCCUGGAACGGGACGCCAUAGAGGGUGAGAGCCCCGUCUGGUUGGAUGCCAAACCUCUGUAAAGUUCCUUCAACGAGUCGAGUAGUUUGGGAAUGCUGCUCUAAAUGGGAGGUAUAUGUCUUCUAAAGCUAAAUACCGGCCAGAGACCGAUAGCGCACAAGUAGAGUGAUCGAAAGAUGAAAAGCACUUUGAAAAGAGAGUUAAAAAGUACGUGAAAUUGUUGAAAGGGAAGCGUUUAUGACCAGACUUGGGCUUGGUUAAUCAUCUGGGGUUCUCCCCAGUGCACUUUUCCAGUCCAGGCCAGCAUCAGUUUUCCCCGGGGGAUAAAGGCGGCGGGAAUGUGGCUCUCUUCGGGGAGUGUUAUAGCCCACCGGUGUAAUACCCUGGGGGGGACUGAGGUUCGCGC
Molecule: ribosomal RNA, 589 nt
Filed under: Fusarium oxysporum
Lineage: Eukaryota; Fungi; Ascomycota; Sordariomycetes; Hypocreales; Nectriaceae
Description: eukaryotic LSU rRNA
Rfam family: Eukaryotic large subunit ribosomal RNA
Source: RNAcentral